This 500-nucleotide ribosomal RNA is filed under the name uncultured bacterium. Its description in RNAcentral is "bacterial SSU rRNA". It matches the Rfam family "Bacterial small subunit ribosomal RNA", at positions 8 to 537 of the family's 1533-position model. The record is from RNAcentral.
AGAGUUUGAUCAUGGCUCAGAGCGAACGCUGGCGGCAGGCCUAACACAUGCAAGUCGAGCGCCCCGCAAGGGGAGCGGCAGACGGGAGAGUAACACGUGGGAACGUACCCUUCAGUUCGGAACAACCAAGGGAAACUUUGGCUAAUACCGAAUACGUCCGUAAGGAGAAAGAUUUAUCGCUGAAGGAUCGGCCCGCGUCUGAUUAGCUAGUUGGUGGGGUAACGGCCCACCAAGGCGACGAUCAGUAGCUGGUCUGAGAGGAUGAUCAGCCUCACUGGGACUGAGACACGGCCCAGACUCCUACGGGAGGCAGCAGUAGGGAAUAUUGGGCAAUGCUCGCAAGAGUGACCCAGCCAUGCCGCGUGCAGGAAGAAGGCCUUCUGGGUUGUAAACUGCUUUUGGAAGGGAACAAAAUGACACUGCGGUGUAACUUGAGUGUACCUUCAGAAUAAGCACCGGCUAACUCCGUGCCAGCAGCCGCGGUAAUACGGAGGGUGCAA